GUGCUUCAAAUGGUCUAUGUUGGAUAGACAAGCCGCUUUCAACCAUUUGACCUCAAAUCAGGUGGGAUUACCCGCUGAACUUAAGCAUAUCAAUAAGCGGAGGAAAAGAAACUAACAAGGAUUCCCCUAGUAACUGCGAGUGAAGCGGGAAAAGCUCAAAUUUAAAAUCUGGCAGCUUUUGGCUGUCCGAGUUKAUCUCGAGAAGGCU
RNAcentral lists this ribosomal RNA (208 nucleotides) under Wrightoporia avellanea. RNAcentral's name for it is "partial 26S ribosomal RNA". The stretch from base 48 to 208 matches the Rfam family "Eukaryotic large subunit ribosomal RNA", at positions 1 to 159 of the family's 3401-position model. The record is from RNAcentral. Lineage: Eukaryota; Fungi; Basidiomycota; Agaricomycetes; Russulales; Wrightoporiaceae.